RNAcentral lists this long non-coding RNA (643 nucleotides) under Marmota monax (woodchuck). Lineage: Eukaryota; Metazoa; Chordata; Mammalia; Rodentia; Sciuridae. The record is from RNAcentral.
CAAAUGAGGCCUCACCACCAUCAGCAGUGGACAAGAUUCUACUUGCACUGUGCAUCGUGCCCCAACUCCCUUCACGCAGUUCCCGCCACCAUUCCGGGUCGCUGAUCCAGGAAGCAGUUUAUUUUGGCUGCCCCAUUCUCAAAGACACAACUUCAAGACAUCAGCAGCGCCCUACACCGCAACGCCCGGGGGAUGGAGCGGUACCAGGGUCCCGCAUCCGCAUUAGCGACAGUUAGGGCACCGUAGUUCAGUUCGGCUGUCGCCUGGGGCCCUCUCCCAGGCGGCGGGUCUAACGGGAAGCUGGCGGGGGAAGUCCUCACCGAAGGGAAUCCCCACGCACGCUGCGCCUCGCGUCACUGGGGCAAGGGGGCGGGGCGAGGCACGGAUUAAAGGGCCUAGGGACUUCCUUACCGGAGAGGGGAGUGUCCAGGAUCUUGACGAGGGUGCCAAGGGUCUAGACCUGAAUGGGGAAAACGGGAGGAUGGGUCCGGUAACAGCCAAACGCCAUCUCCACGUAAUGUGCCUCCAUACAUAUAAACAUACACGGCUGCCCUUCCCAGGCCUCAGCCCAAUGCCUUCUUUCCGCCUGAUGUCUGGCCCCUACAUCCAGGGGAAGAAUGUCUCCGCUCGAGCUCCUAGCCCG